GAGGAUCAGUGAGGAGAAAAUCGUAGAAUCAUAGAAUGGUUCACUGAAUGAAAGACAGCAGAGGAGAUAUUCGAGCUGGAGGGUGGGGUGCCCAUUGGGCAUGUUUCAACCUUUGGUCUCUGAGGACCUCAAGAUGUGGACACCUUUCCUUCCUGGUCAGCAAUGUGGGCUGGGGACACUCAGAAGACAUCAAGGAACAAGGUAGGAGCCCAUCUGACUGCCCACCUCGUCUGGUUUCAGUGCUGAGACACCAGCACCAUCAAAAGGAAAUCUUCUUUGGGCUUUUCCACCUUAACUGAUGUUUUUUUUUUUCUCUCUUUCAGAUGUUACACACCAAAAUCAUCAGUUCACAUCAUGCAGAAAUUCGCAGUGCCUGAGAAGAAUUAAUUACACAGUCAUCAUGUUUCCGUAAAACUACAGGUUUCAGCCCUCAUUGUGUUGUUUCACACACCGCCCGUUACUCGUGGCUGAAGGGCAUUUGCUCCCUGCACGAAGUGAUCUGCCUCAGCGUGGGCUCAGGCUCACAGAGGUCUCCAUCGCAUCUGCUGGCUCUGACCUGCCGCUGAUCUGAAAUGCUAAAUCCAGGGAUACCAGGAAGAUGAUCCUGAUGGUUACAAGGGAUGCCCGAAAUUGCAACUGGUUGAGACAAGCACUUGGGAAAGGUUUCAAGUCGUGUACUAUGGUUUUAAGUGUCAGGAGGUCAAGUUCGGGGGAUGAGGCACAGUGCUUGGGUCUGUAUAUUCUCAGGAGAGAUACCGAGGUCUGGCUGCUGUCAGAUAUGGUACAAAGAGAAAUCCUCUGUCUGAUCUGCUUUGAGUUUCUGUGUGCUACAGCUACAGGAAGCAGUAGCAAAACGGUCACAGAUGCACAGAACAGUGGUGUGCUUAGCAAAGGGUGCAAGACUGUUCUGUGUGCUGCUGGAGGAGAGCCCUGGCCUUGCUGCACCCCCAGGACAGAGCAAGCAGGUCUGCUGUGACCCAUCGCUGGGUCCUGGGCUGGGCUUCGGGGCUGCUCUCUGGAUGCUGCUGCAGGUCCGUGCUUCCAUAGAGGCACCGGGCAAAGCAAGUAGCAAAGGAAGAGCUGGGUCGUUUUGGCUUUGGUGGGUGUCAGCACUGGGUUAUCUCUUCACACACAAAACCACAUCCCAAGGGGGAAAGAUGUCGCAGAUCAUGUGGCAAAGGAUGGGGCCGAGCCUCAUAACGUCUUCAUCUGCUGAAAUAUGUUUCUGUUUUACUGAUUCCAGGCAGAAGCAUGCUGUGGCAGUCUCCUCUCUGACAGCAUCAUCUGCAGGUUUCAAGGGAUCAUUUCUAAUGGCUAGAAGAUUAGUUAAGCGGAGAGCCAGCCCCCAGCUUCAUGCAAGCGGUGUCUGUUUUCCCAAGGCUCAGCAACCACCACAAUCCCCAUCAAGUGCCAGUGUCAAAUAUGCACAUCGGCAGGGCAUCAGGGCAGAGAUGACGCGUGGGCUUUGCUCAAAGCAUUUCGGGUGGUGGUGGACGCUGCUGGCUCUGCAUCCCACACAUCGCACCCGACUCGAGGAGCUGCCAGCAGAGCUGCUAAGCCAGCACCACGUGCGUGCUGCUCCCCGUCUGGUGCACGGUGCAGUCAUAAAUCCUCCCCGGUAAGUGAUUCGGGAAAGAACAAACACGUAAAAUGAAUCAAGCUGUGUGUGUCAGGCAGCGGCGUGUGCUGUUUGCUAGACUAAACAGUGGGGUAAGGCUCUUCAGGGGAUAAAUCCACUGCAUCAGCCUGUGCUAAUGCUACCUGCAGUGAUAUAAAACAGGAGAUAAAAAUGUGCUUACUUUGCUUUAGGUAAAAAGCACAUUCCUGUCUGAUCUGCCGGCUUGUGUGUUCUUGGUCCAGGCUUUCCCAGAGACCUGUUGGCAUCCACUCCUGUGUUCUCCACAAAAGCCUAGGGUGAAAAUGCCUCUGGUCUGCUGCAAUCUUCAGCAUAAGAGCUUUCAGUGCUCAGGACAGAAUUCUAUGCUUGAAUUUUGAUUUCCACAAGAAACGCAAGUGGUAUGACCUGCAUAGUCACAUGCAAAACAAAUCAGACAAACUGAUUUGUCUUUUGAAGUUUGUAACGUGUAUUUUUAUUCCCUUUUUCAAGGCACGGCGUUUUGUUUGUGGAUCUGGCAGGAGGAGAGCAUCUCCCCAGGAGCUGCAGCAACAGCGAGGGGCUGGAAGGCACCCGGCUCCCUGCAGCCCCAGCACCGGAGCCUCUGCGGGACUGCCCACGCUGCUCUCCCUGCCCGCGGGAUGGAGGCACGGCUUUUCUGCAGGCAUCACAUCCUCCUACAUGGCAGAGGCUGGGCAGGAUUGCUCUGUAGCUCACAGACCUUUUGACCACUGUUUUAUUUUCCUUUCAUUCUCAAGUCAACCAGAUUUACUGCUUGCAGAGUAAAUAUUGGUGCAACCCCCAAGGGUCAGCAUCUAGCAAAAUGAGUGGUGUUUGCUGAGGAGGUGAUGGGGGGGGCUGAGGAGUGGCAGACACCGACGCAGCCGUUUUGAGACUGCUCCCAACGCCGGUAUUUUGAUUUUUUUUCCCAGUUUCUAGCAAUACCACUUUUCUGCCACUCUGCCUCUCCAGAGUUUCUGCUGACAGGACAGAACUGCUGGUAGCAAACACAUUAUUCAUUGUGAUUGAGUGCCUAGUAAUUACUUUAUAUAUUUUUUCAAUUCUCAAAUUAAAACCAUUUACUAGUAGGAACAGAUGUUAAAUUCAGGACUCUUGUUGAUUGUUAGUGUGACACACACAUGAAAUGUUUUAAACUAGAAGGCUGAUUGAAUUUUAAAUAUGCUGAUCACACUGGUGAAAUUUAAAAUAAUUGAAACUGGGAAUAACUGAAACGUUUCCAAGAAGGGAUGACAGAGGUGGGGUUUGCUUUUCAAACCCAUGAUUGCACAAAUCAUGUUAAGCUCUGCAGAGGAAAUACAAUAAUUUUCUGUGUGUUGCGGAACCAACCAUGGACUUGCAUGGUACUUCGUGGUACUUUGGUACUUCAAAAUGGCAGGAGAAAAGAACUUAGAGAUGAACGUAGAAUCUAUUUUCAAAUCAAUACCUCAAAUGUUAUCCACACACUCUGUAGGAAUGUGAUUUUUUUGUUUGUUUGUUUAUUCAAUAAAAUUAUAUUUUUCAGGGAAUCCA
Long non-coding RNA from Anser cygnoides (Swan goose), 3145 nucleotides. Lineage: Eukaryota; Metazoa; Chordata; Aves; Anseriformes; Anatidae. The record is from Ensembl.